AGACGUUGGUUGUUGAGCGACAGUUUG
Molecule: small RNA, 27 nt
Filed under: Bombyx mori (domestic silkworm)
Lineage: Eukaryota; Metazoa; Arthropoda; Insecta; Lepidoptera; Bombycidae
Description: ovarian small RNA-2512
Source: RNAcentral